Molecule: unclassified non-coding RNA, 364 nt
Filed under: uncultured bacterium
Lineage: Bacteria
Description: contains 16S-23S intergenic spacer region
Source: RNAcentral
UCCGGGUUUCGCCCGGCAGUCUCCCUAGAAAAAUACAACUAAUCACAAGGGUUGCGCUCGUUGAUGGACUUAACCAAACAUCUCACGACACGAGCUGACGACGGCCAUGCAACACCUGUCACCUUGCUCAAUAAAGCACUCUCUACUUUCGUAGAAAUUCAAGGGAUGUCAAGCCCUGGUAAGGUUCUUCGUUUAUCAUCGAAUUAAAGAACACGCUCCACCGCUUGUGCGGGUCCCCGUCAAUUCCUUUAUGUUUUAGUCUUGCGACCGUACUCCACAGGCGGGAUACUUAACGCGUUAGCUUCGCUACUGAAGGGGUCGAUACCUCCAACAGCUAGUAUCCAUAGUUUAAGGCGUGGACUAC